GAGGUUAAAACUGGAAGAUUAUUCUCAAUUCGAUUUCUCGUAAAUAUGGUUUCUCCAACCGGUUCCACUUAAACCCAAUUUGGAUCCAGUUCGCAAUUAGUCUAUCUCUCUCUCUCUCAUAAAUCUCGAUCUCUUAUUACUACUGCUCUCUCUCUCAACUAUUAUUAGAAAUCUGAUUGAAAUUACAGAAGAAGGGAAAACUGGAACUAAGAAAAGGAAAAUUUUAGAUUUUGUUUCAUUGGAUUGCUCUCUGCUACCACCAUUCCAAAACCCUCACCACAUCACCCAACCUCAUACUGCUGCACCUACUGCUACUCCUGCAGAUGUACAUUCCGAUGCUCAAUCUCUAGAUCUAAUUUUUCAACUCCUCACUCGUCCAUCAAUUGCUAAUCAUCUUGUUCAUCGAGGAUUGUUAAGCAAAGAUAUCCUUAAUCAUAUUCCAACCACAACUGCUGAGCAACUUCCACUCAACCAAUCAAUAACAAAUACCACUAAUCCAGACCAUACUGAUCCCAUCAAUAACCAAAAUUAUCCACCAACUAUUAUUGAAGAAGGUACUUCACAGAUGUCUCAGUCUGAACCUUAUACUGGUACUGAUAAUUUUGUCACUAUUGAUCCGUCUGGGACCGAGGAAUCCAGGGCUAUACUGAUGAGUGUGAGUCGUCAUGAAACCAACCUCCAUCAAAGCUCCUUGCUGAUAUCUUCUAAUAGUGCGCUACAUAACGAGGUUUGCUCUCUUCAAAUAUUCUAUUACCUUUUCCUUAUCUCCUACCAUGUGCCUGCAAAUUUCAUAACAAAUUCUAGUCUCAUCAAAAAUAAUUCUAACUGCUCUUUAUAUUUCUACUAUUACUCUAACACAACACAACCUCAUUUUUUUCAAUUUACCUCAUCAUCUACCUUACACCACAGUACUUGGUCAUAUCUUGCUGUUGAUACUCACUAUACUUACCACACAAAUAUUACCAUACUCUACUGUUAUGCUUGCCUAGAUCAUUGUUCAACUAAUCUACAUCUUAUCAUAUGGUACUUUAGUUACUCUCAUUGUUAUAUCUGCAAAUUGCAUAAGUUCUGGUUACUUGGUUUGUAUACUUGUAUAUGCUCACUUAGCUACUGGGUCGGCACUGUGUUUCAAGAAAUGAACAUACUAGCUUGGAAUCUUCGGGGUUGUGGUAAUGUUCAGACAAUAAGAGCUCUAAAAGAUUUAAUUAAAGAACAAAAACCUCAAAUCAUCUUCCUAUCUGAAACUAAAUCUUCCCCAAAUUCUACUCUCUCCCUGAUUAACUCUCUUAAUUACCAUCACUAUCACUUUGUUGAACCAAACCACCAUGCUGGUGGACUCCUCCUCCUUUGGUCAACAAAUGUUCAUCUCCAAGUCAUCUCCUCAAAUAAAUAUAUUAUUAAUACCAUAAUAAAUCAAAAUGAUAACAGUUUACCUUUCUCUGCUUCCUUCUUCUAUGGGAGCCCCUACUCUCAACUUAAAGACUUCAGUUGGAGUUUUCUAAAAAAAGCUUGUGACACUGCCCCUGUUCCUUGGAUGGUUAUAGGAGAUCUGAAUGUCAUCUUCUCCCAAUCUGAAAAAAUUGGAGGUCUUCCUUUUGAUACCAACAAAUGUAAGUUUGCUUCUGAUAUCACUAAUGAACUUGGUCUUAUAGACCUAGGUUUUACUGGUGAACCUUUUACCUGGUGUAAUAAGAGGUGUAACCCCCAUAACAUCAGAAAAAGACUUGAUAGAUGUCUCUGCACUACCAGGUGGCAUCUAUCCCAUCCUGAGGCAAAGUUGCACCAUCUGCCAGCUAUUGCUUCUGACCACUGCCCUAUUCUUCUUCGCAUAAGUCCCCCUCUGCAUGGUGGGCCUAAACCUUUCAAAUUUCAAAACAUGUGGGUUCGUGAUGAAAAUUUCAACUUUGUGGUUGAUAUGGCCUGGAAAAGAGUGCAUAAUACCUGUCCCAUUACGUCACACUUGUCCUCCACUAAAAAAGCUCUUACCAUUUGGAAUAAAAAGGUGUUCGGUAACAUUUUUCACAAAGUUUCUGCCCUUAAAAAGAAGAUCUCUAAUGUCCAAUCCCAGCCUUGCUCCCCUCAUAACAAAGAUCUGGAAAGAAAUCUGAUCAAUGAACUGGAUGAAGUUCAAGCCAGAGAAGAGAUAGCUUGGCAACAAAAAUCUAAUGACAGAACGGUCCUUGAGGGUGACAAAAACACAAAGUUUUUUCACAUCUCCUGUCUCAUUCUCAGAAAUCAUAAUACUAUUGAGUCUAUUCUUGACUUAAAUAACAACAGAACCUUCGAUAAAAAAUCUAUCCAAAAGAUUUUUAUUGACCAUUUCACUCAUCUUCUCUGCCCCCAUGUGAUCCCUCUCUCCCAUAGUCAAAAGCUAACUAUCUCUGAAUUUUUCCCUAACUGCAUGUCCCUGGAAGAUAAGGAAAUGCUUAGCAGAGAUAUCACUCCAGAGGAAAUUAAAUUCUAUAUGUUCGGUAUUGGUCCUCUAAAGGUUCCUGGCCCUGAUGGCUUCACUAGCCUUUUCUUCCAAAAUUCUUGGGGAAUAGUUCAACCGGAACUAUAUAAACUUGUUAUGGAUUUCUGGAAAAAUGAUAAAACUAUAGAGCACAUUAAUCACACCAACAUUGCCUUAAUCCCUAAAUGUGACUUCCCAAACCACCCUUCUGACUUUAGACCUAUUAGUCUUUGCAAUGUGACUUACAAGGUUCUAUCUAAAUUGUUGGCUGAUAGGCUCAGGGAUCUCCUACCUAAAAUUAUCUCCCCUCUUCAGUGUGCCUUUGUCCCUAACAGACAAAUCUCGGAUAAUGUCUUGUUGGCUCAUGAGAUAAUCCACUCUCUUAGGAGGAAACAAGGAAAACAUGGGGUCAUGGCCAUAAAGAUUGACAUGUCCAAAGCUUUCGAUAGAGUUAACUGGGAAUGUCUAAUGGAAAUUCUUAAAUGUUUAGGUCUUCCCCAUUAUUUCAUGGAUCUUAUUCACAAGUGUAUAUCUUCUAUCCACUCCUCUGUCAUUAUCAAUGGCACCCCCCAUGGUUACUUCAAACCUACUAAUGGGCUCAGACAAGGGGACCCCAUAUCCCCCUCCCUCUUCAUCAUUUGCAUGGAGCUUCUUUCUAGACUUAUUCAGCAAAAAUGUAACCAGAAAAAAAUAAAUGGUAUCAAAGUCUCUAGAAAUAGCCAUCCUAUCUCUCAUCUGCUAUUUGCUGAUGAUAUCUUUAUUUUCUGUAAUGCUAACAUUGAUGAAGCUCUAGAGUUACUCCAAACUCUUCAAACUUUCACUUCUAUCUCUGGCCAAGAGAUAAACUUCUCCAAAUCGGGCAUAUUGUUCAGUAAAAACACUCCCACCCAUACUCAAAGUCAAAUUCAAACUACUCUCCAUAUGUCUCAGUUGAAUAAAAAGGAUCUUUACCUUGGGACUCCCCUCUUCCUUGGCCAAAAGAAAUCCUUACUUUUCAAAAAUCUCAUCUCUAGGGUGGAGAAAAAACUUGCAGGCUGGAAAAGUAAAGUUUUAUCCCAGGCUGGUAGAACUGUCUUGAUCAAUUCGGUCACCUCGGCUAUCCCCUCUUACCAAAUGACCUGCUUCAAAAUUCCUAAGUCCAUCACUGAUAGACUCAAUCAACUCCAAAGAGAUUUUUGGUGGGGGCAAACGGAAACUACCAAGAGGAAAAUGCAUCUCAUUAGUUGGACCAAAUUAUGCCAACCUAAAUGCAAAGGAGGCCUUGGAAUUAAAAACAUCGACGAUCAAAAUAAUGCCCUCCUCAGUAGGAUUGCCUGGAGAAUCAUCACCCAACCUGAGAAUCUAUGUUCUUCCAUCCUUCGAUCCAAAUACUUUCCUCUAACCUCUCCUCUUCAUCACCAUAUUCACCACUCUCCCUCCUGGACCUGGAAGUCUAUCUCUACUGUUAUUAAAAAAAUCAACAAUGUCAUAUGUUGGGACAUUGGCACUGGGUCUUCCAUCCCCAUUUGGGACUCUAACUGGAUCCCUUCCAGCCCAAACUUCAAGCCUUUGCCUCUGGCCAACAACAACUCCAUCCUUCAUUCUAAUAUCCAUCAUGUUAACCAACUCCUUCUUCCUAACACUAAUCAAUGGAAUAGUAAUCUCCUUGACCAACUUUUCACUCCCUGUACGAUCCAUUAUAUAAAAAGUACCCCUGUUAGAGGUCAUCAUUCUGUUGAUAGGCUUAAAUGGAUGGGAACUAAAAAUGGUCUGUUUAGUGUUAAAUCCUCUUACAAGUACUUAACUAGGAAUGAACAUAACACUCCCUUCAUUGCUAAAACUCAUCUUAAAAUGUGGAAAACUUUUGCUACUCCAAGAGCUAUUCUCUUUGCUUGGAAAUGCCUUUUCCAAGGAGUUCCUACUAGAGAAAGAAUAGGGAGACACAUUCCCCUAACUUCCAAACUUUGUCCCAUGUGUAGCCAUCCCAGUGAGACUCUAAAACACAUGCUUCUUGAUUGUCCCUAUACUCAAGCAGUAUGGUUUCUCUCACAUUGGAAUUUCAGAUUAAACCACUUCCACAAUUUAAAUGAAAUCCAAUGGAUUAAUAUAUGGUUUGACCCUCCCAAAGAUUGGCUGGUUAAUAUUAAUGAUUGGAGCUCUUAUUGUGUGACCAUUACAUGGGCUAUCUGGAAAUGUAGAUGUGAUAAAGUAUUCAAUGGAAUCCUGUUGGACCCUAUGUUAUUGGCAAAGAAAGUGGAUGCUCAGCUGAGCAGGACUGUCAGGAAUAGAUUGACCACUUGUUCUCAAUCUACACUGCCAUCCCCAUGCUCUUUAUGGAUACCACCUUCAGAUGGCUAUUGCAAGAUAAAUGUGGACAUUGCGUUCCAAACUGCUGAUACAAACAUAGGCAUUGGUAUACUAAUCAGAGAUACAUUUGGAAAAUUUCUAUUUGCAGGCAGUGAAACAGGCAAGGCAGGCUCUUCAGCUGAGGCAGAAUGCGCAGGCAUCUUAUCUGCCUGCAAGACAGGACUCCAGCAACAUCUGAGCAAGGUGAUCAUAGAAACUGAUAACCUAUCAGCUGCUAACUACAUGAAUCGAAAGCAAGCAAACUUAUCUUGGGUGGCUUCAAACAUUUUGGAAGAGGCCUUACUUAUAUCUAAGUCUUUUUUAUCUAUUUAUUUCAUGCACUGUAACAGGAGUGGGAACUGCUCGGCUCAUAUCAUUGCGCAGCAUACUGAUUUAAGCAGCUUGGUUCCCACUACCUUUUCCUUUCCCCCAACCUGGCUGUUAGAACAGCUAGAACUAGACUCUGUAUUGUGUAAUAAGCAAGCUUUCUAAAUUCUAAUAUAAUUAUGAUUAUUAAAAAAAAAAAAAACUAUUAUUAGAAAUCCCUCUCCAUCUCUUUCUUUCUCAUCUGUAUUUCUAUCUCUCUCUUGAAUUUUGACCCCCUUCAACAAUAUAACUUUUGAAGAAUUCAGUUCAACUUAUGAACUAAUUAAUUAUAAGUUAUUCAAUGGAACCCCCUGAAGUUGCUUGAAACCCAAAGUUCAUUAAAAAAAAAUUACAAUAUUGACUUGUAUGAAUCCAAUUUGGGUUUCAAGGAACUGAAUUCAGAUUUUUGUAUGGGUCGUAAAUAAAUUAACAUUCUUACUCCUUAAUUAGUUUUCUCUUUUAUUGUUUCUUGAAAUCCAUGGAUUCAAGAAUGGUUUUCUUGCCCAGAGAAGAUGAUUACAGAUACUCACUCAGAGCAAACAUGUCAAAUCAAAAAGUCAAUUUUAAAAUUAAAAUUAAUCUGGAUGAACAACAUGAUUUUUUUAGAAGAUGACGAUCGAAAUAGGAGAAAGAGAGUCUGAGAAGUUAAGGUAUCAUAUUGGGUCUAAUUGGACCCUUAUAAGAACUCCACAUUUACGAUGCUCUGAGUGCUCAACCAAAAGAAAUUACACCCAGUUAUACCCUCCAGUCCGCAUGCGGACAGACCUAUACCUAUAUAUAUACAGAACGUCACUGGUACGGUCCGUCCGUAUACGAACUGGGGGCUUUUUUGUAAAAGUGUAUCAGAUAUGGAAAUAACAAUAUGAAAUCACGUAAAUAUGGUUUUCUCUAUGGGUUUAAGUAAACCCAAGUUGAAACCCAGAUUUAACCCAUCUUCCUUCUCCUCCGUAUGUUCAUCUCUUUUAUCUUAGAAACAGAUCUCUCCGUCUCUGUUCGAUAAUUGUGACACAUUUUUCAAUAUAAGGUCUACAAAAACCAGGUUUUAAUGAAAUGGUAGAGUAGGUCCAACACAUGAUAUUAGCAAGUAAAAUUCCAAGUAAAGUUCACUGAUGUUGCUAUGAGUUUGACGAGUUGCUGCUUCUAAAACCUACUCAUCUCUCACAAAAAUUUCAAAACAUAACCAUUUUAUUGCGGUUCGAAUUCAACGGAGUGAUUUCUAAUGUUAAUUGAGUCUCAAGCAAACUCAAUAAAAUUAUUUUUCAAUCACAAAUCUUUGAAUCAAAGAGGGUGAAUUUUGUUUCUUAUUAAUUUUUGUUGAAUUAGAUGACAUUCUUAUGCCUUUGGAUCAGUUGAAUAAUAUGAUCAUUACAAGUCUUGUGUUUAUGGAUGUCUUAUGCAUACCCUGGUUUAUAACAAAAGAGAGAAUCACUUGUAUUUCUAGGUGAACCCAACAUCACAAUCUUUGAAUAUUUAAUUGGAUUUAAUCAAAUCCAAAAUUAAUUAAAAAGUUUUCUAAUAUGCUAUGUUUUCUCUGCAAAUCUGAUUACAUCAAUAUAUUCUGAAUCGCUUUCACAUUCAUUCUUUGAUCAGGUAUGGUAGAUGAUAAGAUGAAGAGUUUCGUGUAAAUCAAAACUUCAAGAUUAAAAUAGAGAGCAAGGAGAGAAGCCAUGGAGAAUUACAGUCUUUAUUUGGUAGAUUUAUGCCAGCUUGAGAGAGAGAACAAACGAGAGAGAAGAGAGAGAAGAGAAAUGAAAAGAAUCUUACAGAUCCAAAGCGGGUUGAACAUGACCCAAAAAACAAACCAUAUUAGCGAUAUGUUUAGAAAACUGACCUUUUUACUAUUUUAACCUCAGUCCGUAUACGGACGGACCGUACCAGAGACGCUCUGUAUAUAUAUAUAUAUCGGGCUGUC
Molecule: long non-coding RNA, 7055 nt
Filed under: Aquilegia coerulea
Lineage: Eukaryota; Viridiplantae; Streptophyta; Magnoliopsida; Ranunculales; Ranunculaceae
Description: long non-coding RNA (ACOE_LNC002197)
Source: RNAcentral